UGACCUCAAAUCAGGUAGGAUUACCCGCUGAACUUAA
RNAcentral lists this ribosomal RNA (37 nucleotides) under Lentinula edodes (shiitake mushroom). RNAcentral's name for it is "partial 28S ribosomal RNA". Lineage: Eukaryota; Fungi; Basidiomycota; Agaricomycetes; Agaricales; Omphalotaceae. The record is from RNAcentral. RNAcentral also lists the same sequence under 9 other names.